Long non-coding RNA from Neopelma chrysocephalum (saffron-crested tyrant-manakin), 389 nucleotides. RefSeq lists it as uncharacterized. The transcript is spliced from 3 exons. NCBI's taxonomy places the organism in Eukaryota, Metazoa, Chordata, Aves, Passeriformes, Pipridae. The record is from RefSeq and is a predicted model, not a curated record.
AUCGGUGGCCAGCGGGGCUGAGGUGGCCGCCACCGGGCUCAGGGGACCACCGGGAGUUGGUGGCCACCGGCGGUGAGGUGGCCGUGGUCAGGCUGGAGGGGACCACCAGCCAUCAGUGGCCACUGGGGUUGAGAUGGCCACCACUGGGCUGAGGGGAGCACCAGGAGUUGGUGGCCACUGGGGUUGAGGUGGCUGUGGCCAGACUGAGGUGACCACCAGGCAUUGGUGGCCACCAGUGUCGGGGUGGACACUGGCCCUGAGGUGGCCGUGGCCAGGCUGAGGUGGCCGUGGCCAGGCUGAGGUGAUGUCUGCCAGUUUUAAGUGGCCGCCAGGGGUUGAGGUGGCUGCUGCUGGGCUGAGGAGACCACCACACUUAGGUUGCCACUGGG